This 141-nucleotide small nuclear RNA is filed under the name Sciurus vulgaris (Eurasian red squirrel). RNAcentral's name for it is "U4 spliceosomal RNA (ENSSVLG00005023849.1)". It matches the Rfam family "U4 spliceosomal RNA". Rfam says of the family: U4 small nuclear RNA (U4 snRNA) is a component of the major U2-dependent spliceosome. The structure of U4 snRNA from yeast and human has been reported. The record is from Rfam by way of RNAcentral. Lineage: Eukaryota; Metazoa; Chordata; Mammalia; Rodentia; Sciuridae.
AGCUUUGCACAGUGGCAGCAUCGUAGCCAAUGAGGUUUAUCUGAGGCACGAUUAUUGCUAAUUGAAAACUUUUCCCAGUACCCCACUGUGACGACUUGCAAUAUAGUUGGCAUUGGCAAUUUUUGAUAGUCUCUACGGAGG